Molecule: ribosomal RNA, 466 nt
Filed under: uncultured bacterium
Lineage: Bacteria
Description: bacterial SSU rRNA
Rfam family: Bacterial small subunit ribosomal RNA
Source: RNAcentral
CGUCCAGACUCCUACGGGAGGCAGCAGUGAGGAAUAUUGGUCAAUGGCCGAGAGGCUGAACCAGCCAAGUCGCGUGAGGGACGACUGCCCUAUGGGUUGUAAACCUCUUUUAUAAGGGAAGAAUAAAUGCUACGUGUAGCAUGAUGCCUGUACCUUAUGAAUAAGCAUCGGCUAACUCCGUGCCAGCAGCCGCGGUAAUACGGAGGAUGCGAGCGUUAUCCGGAUUUAUUGGGUUUAAAGGGUGCGUAGGCGGAAGCCCAAGUCAGGGGUAAAAUCGCGGGGCUCAACCUCGCUCCGCCGUUGAAACUGGCGUUCUUGAGUGGGCGAGAAGUAUGCGGAAUGCGUGGUGUAGCGGUGAAAUGCAUAGAUAUCACGCAGAACUCCGAUUGCGAAGGCAGCAUACCGGCGCCCAACUGACGCUGAAGCACGAAAGCGUGGGUAUCGAACAGGAUUAGAUACCCUAGUA